UGGGGAAUAUUGCACAAUGGGCGCAAGCCUGAUGCAGCCAUGCCGCGUGUAUGAAGAAGGCCUUCGGGUUGUAUAGUACUUUCAGCGGGGAGGAAGGGAGUAAAGUUAAUACCUUUGCUCAUUGACGUUACCCGCAGAAGAAGCACCGGCUAACUCCGUGCCAGCAGCCGCGGUAAUACGGAGGGUGCAAGCGUUAAUCGGAAUUACUGGGCGUAAAGCGCACGCAGGCGGUUUGUUAAGUCAGAUGUGAAAUCCCCGGGCUCAACCUGGGAACUGCAUCUGAUACUGGCAAGCUUGAGUCGCGUAGAGGGUGGUAGAAUUCCAUGUGUAGCGAUGAAAUGCGUAGAGAUGUGGAGGAAUACCGGUGGCAAAGGCGGCCCCCUGGGCAAAGACUGACGCUCAGGUGCGAAAGCGUGGGGAGCAAACAGG
Molecule: ribosomal RNA, 429 nt
Filed under: Chloroflexota bacterium
Lineage: Bacteria; Bacillati; Chloroflexota
Description: Chloroflexi bacterium partial 16S ribosomal RNA
Rfam family: Bacterial small subunit ribosomal RNA
Source: RNAcentral